AUUACAUCUUUACAUCUUCUUUACAAUCUAACUGAUUUGCUAAGUAACUGUGUAGCAAGUGCCAAGUUUUACAUUAAUUUUUUGCUUAAAAUUAAAAAUAUUUUGUUUUUUAACUUAUUUGCUAAGUGACAACUCUCUUGUUCAUGCAACAAAAACAAAAUUCCAAUAAAAUCAAACUUUAUGUAAUCAUUUAUGAGUUGACAUUUUUUUUUUACAAUAAUUUGGUUCCACACUAGCUUAUCGUAUGAGCAGGAUCUAGAAAUAAGCAAAUAUUUUCUGUUUUUUUUUCAGAUAAUUCUACAACAAUAUUUAAAUGGCAACCGAAAAUGUGUGCCAUAGUUAGAUUUGUGAAACAGCUAUACAAUGUUAAGCAAACUAAGCGAUCGUGGACAGGGCCUCUGGCUAGUUUGGGCCCUCAGACUUCAUGUUCAUAUUUUAAAAUUAUAUAUGAAAAAGAAAUGAUCGUUGUGGCAAAUCAUCAACAGAAGUCUUGGACGCAGUUAAAUUAGCUGACAUUACUUUUCCAGUACGAAUUGGUGAAUUAAAUGUACUUGAUGAUGCAUUUUCCAUAGAUUGAUCGAAAUUAUUAUCAACUAAUUGUAAUGUGCUAUUCAUAUGCUCAUUAUUAUCAAUAAU
Aphis gossypii (cotton aphid) is the source of this 636-nucleotide long non-coding RNA. RefSeq lists it as uncharacterized. The record is from RefSeq and is a predicted model, not a curated record. Lineage: Eukaryota; Metazoa; Arthropoda; Insecta; Hemiptera; Aphididae. The transcript is spliced from 3 exons.